AGUGAACGCUGGCGGUAGGCCUAACACAUGCAAGUCGAACGGCAGCACAGUAAGAGCUUGCUCUUACGGGUGGCGAGUGGCGGACGGGUGAGGAAUACAUCGGAAUCUACUUUUUCGUGGGGGAUAACGUAGGGAAACUUACGCUAAUACCGCAUACGACCUACGGGUGAAAGCAGGGGAUCUUCGGACCUUGCGCGAUUGAAUGAGCCGAUGUCGGAUUAGCUAGUUGGCGGGGUAAAGGCCCACCAAGGCGACGAUCCGUAGCUGGUCUGAGAGGAUGAUCAGCCACACUGGAACUGAGACACGGUCCAGACUCCUACGGGAGGCAGCAGUGGGGAAUAUUGGACAACGGGCGCAAGCCUGAUCCAGCCAUACCGCGUGGGUGAAGAAGGCCUUCGGGUUGUAAAGCCCUUUUGUUGGGAAAGAAAAGCAGCAGGUUAAUACCCCACUGUUCUGACGGUACCCAAAGAAUAAGCACCGGCUAACUUCGUG
RNAcentral lists this ribosomal RNA (492 nucleotides) under uncultured bacterium. Its description in RNAcentral is "partial 16S ribosomal RNA". It matches the Rfam family "Bacterial small subunit ribosomal RNA", at positions 29 to 507 of the family's 1533-position model. The record is from RNAcentral.